GCGCCCGUAGCUCAGCUGGAUAGAGCAACGGCCUUCUAAGCCGUGGGUCGCAGGUUCGAGUCCUGCCGGGCGUGCCA
Molecule: transfer RNA, 77 nt
Filed under: Thiocystis violacea
Lineage: Bacteria; Pseudomonadati; Pseudomonadota; Gammaproteobacteria; Chromatiales; Chromatiaceae
Also listed under: 16 other names
Description: tRNA-Arg
Rfam family: tRNA
About the family: Transfer RNA (tRNA) molecules are approximately 80 nucleotides in length. Their secondary structure includes four short double-helical elements and three loops (D, anti-codon, and T loops).
Source: RNAcentral